This 492-nucleotide ribosomal RNA is filed under the name uncultured bacterium. Its description in RNAcentral is "partial 16S ribosomal RNA". It matches the Rfam family "Bacterial small subunit ribosomal RNA", at positions 29 to 507 of the family's 1533-position model. The record is from RNAcentral.
AGUGAACGCUGGCGGUAGGCCUAACACAUGCAAGUCGAACGGCAGCACAGUAAGAGCUUGCUCUUACGGGUGGCGAGUGGCGGACGGGUGAGGAAUACAUCGGAAUCUACUUUUUCGUGGGGGAUAGCGUAGGGAAACUUACGCUAAUACCGCAUACGACCUACGGGUGAAAGCAGGGGAUCUUCGGACCUUGCGCGAUUGAAUGAGCCGAUGUCGGAUUAGCUAGUUGGCGGGGUAAAGGCCCACCAAGGCGACGAUCCGUAGCUGGUCUGAGAGGAUGAUCACCCACACUGGAACUGAGACACGGUCCAGACUCCUACGGGGGGCAGCAGUGGGGAAUAUUGGACAAUGGGCGCAAGCCUGAUCCAGCCAUACCGCGUGGGUGAAGAAGGCCUUCGGGUUGUAAAGCCCUUUUGUUGGGAAAGAAAAGCAGCAGGUUAAUACCCCGCUGUUCUGACGGUACCCAAAGAAUAAGCACCGGCUAACUUCGUG